This 459-nucleotide ribosomal RNA is filed under the name uncultured bacterium. RNAcentral's name for it is "partial 16S ribosomal RNA". It matches the Rfam family "Bacterial small subunit ribosomal RNA", at positions 338 to 795 of the family's 1533-position model. The record is from RNAcentral.
CCUACGGGGGGCAGCAGUGAGGAAUAUUGGUCAAUGGACGCAAGCCUGAACCAGCCAUGCCGCGUGCGGGAAGACGGCCCUAUGAGUUGUAAACCUCUUUUGUCGGGGAGCAAAGCGAGUCACGUGUGACGCAUUGAGAGUACCCGAAGAAAAAGCAUCGGCUAACUCCGUGCCAGCAGCCGCGGUAAUACGGAGGAUGCGAGCGUUAUCCGGAUUUAUUGGGUUUAAAGGGUGCGCAGGCGGAGGAGCAAGUCAGCGGUCAAAUUGAGGGGCUCAACCCCGUAGUGCCGUUGAAACUGCAUCCCUUGAGUGCGCGAGAAGUAUGCGGAAUGCGUGGUGUAGCGGUGAAAUGCAUAGAUAUCACGCAGAACUCCGAUUGCGAAGGCAGCAUACCGGCGCGCAACUGACGCUCAUGCACGAAAGCGUGGGUAUCGAACAGGAUUAGAUACCCGAGUAGUC